UACGUAGGGGGCAAGCGUUGUCCGGAAUCAUUGGGCGUAAAGCGCGUGUAGGCGGCCCGGUAAGUCCGCUGUGAAAGUCGGGGGCUCAACCCUCGAAUGCCGGUGGAUACUGUCGGGCUAGAGUGCGGGAGAGGCGAGUGGAAUUCCUGGUGUAGCGGUGAAAUGCGCAGAUAUCAGGAGGAACACCAAUUGCGAAGGCAGCUCGCUGGAACGUAACUGACGCUGAGACGCGAAAGCGUGGGGAG
Molecule: ribosomal RNA, 245 nt
Filed under: uncultured bacterium
Lineage: Bacteria
Description: partial 16S ribosomal RNA
Rfam family: Bacterial small subunit ribosomal RNA
Source: RNAcentral